This 465-nucleotide ribosomal RNA is filed under the name Vreelandella stevensii. RNAcentral's name for it is "partial 16S ribosomal RNA". It matches the Rfam family "Bacterial small subunit ribosomal RNA", at positions 338 to 795 of the family's 1533-position model. Lineage: Bacteria; Pseudomonadati; Pseudomonadota; Gammaproteobacteria; Oceanospirillales; Halomonadaceae. The record is from RNAcentral.
CCUACGGGGGGCUGCAGUGGGGAAUAUUGGACAAUGGGGGGAACCCUGAUCCAGCCAUGCCGCGUGUGUGAAGAAGGCCCUCGGGUUGUAAAGCACUUUCAGUGAGGAAGAACGCCUGGUGGUUAAUACCCAUCAGGAAAGACAUCACUCACAGAAGAAGCACCGGCUAACUCCGUGCCAGCAGCCGCGGUAAUACGGAGGGUGCGAGCGUUAAUCGGAAUUACUGGGCGUAAAGCGCGCGUAGGUGGCUUGAUAAGCCGGUUGUGAAAGCCCCGGGCUCAACCUGGGAACGGCAUCCGGAACUGUCAAGCUAGGGUGCAGGAGAGGAAGGUAGAAUUCCCGGUGUAGCGGUGAAAUGCGUAGAGAUCGGGAGGAAUACCAGUGGCGAAGGCGGCCUUCUGGACUGACACUGACACUGAGGUGCGAAAGCGUGGGUAGCAAACAGGAUUAGAUACCCGAGUAGUC